This is a long non-coding RNA of Octopus bimaculoides (California two-spot octopus), 817 nucleotides long. The record is from RefSeq and is a predicted model, not a curated record. NCBI's taxonomy places the organism in Eukaryota, Metazoa, Mollusca, Cephalopoda, Octopoda, Octopodidae.
GUGACCACGUGAUCAACGAUGUUCGCGUCCGUCCGUCUUUCUCCGCAUCUGAGGUGACGUAACAUUAGCGUUGUCUUGCUAUCUACGUACAAGUAUCUUGUUCGUUUUACAGAUAAUUCGCGAGUCACUCAGCGCUAGCAGUAUAGAUUACUUAUAAGCAUCAUAAGACCGCUGCUAUAAAUAAUGUUAAGCGUCUGAAGACAAGUCCACCUAGGAGGUACGACGGGGCUGGUAUCAAUGAUCAACUGAAAGCAGCAGAAAUGAAGAAAUUGAAGAAAAAGGAAUCGACGACUUAACGGAUAUUGCAAACCAUCAGUUCUAAGGCCAGACGGAAAAUUCAGUAAUAGCUAAGAGGAUUUGGGCCACCAACGCCCGGAAACAAACAAUUGUCGGUGGUUUCUUAAGGAGAUUUGGAGAUGUCAGUAAAAAUCACUAAAAGUCGUUUACAAGAGAUUAGUGCAACUAAAAUGAAGGGAACAUCACUGCAAUCUACGUAAGUUUACUAGCUAAAGCGUUAGUUGAAUUACAACAAGAACAAGAACAAGAACGAUGACAAAAGCAACAUCAAAAAUUAGUUAUAACUAAUUGGAACAAAGACACCAUAAAAGACAAACAAAUGAAUAAUAUUAACCAAAUUAUUACAACACUACACUGCAAAUAGUAUUAGUGUAUAAUUGCUGAAAAAAAUAAAAUAACUGACAUAAAUACUCAGGAUGUUCAAGUAAUUAUGGUCUGGUUUUAAUUGGGGGAUGAAAAUAAUUAAAAGCUUCACUUGGAAAGUCGUGCUGAAAAACAAGAUAAAUUACACAAAUGUAGU